AUUGAACGCUGGCGGCAGGCCUAACACAUGCGAGUCGAGCGGAUGAAGGGAGCUUGCUCCUGGAUUCAGCGGCGGACGGGUGAGUAAUGCCUAGGAAUCUGCCUGGUAGUGGGGGAUAACGUCCGGAAACGGGCGCUAAUACCGUAUACGUCCUGAGGGAGAAAGUGGGGGAUCUUCGGACCUCACGCUAUCAGAUGAGCCUAGGUCGGAUUAGCUAGUUGGUGGGGUAAAGGCCUACCAAGGCGACGAUCCGUAACUGGUCUGAGAGGAUGAUCAGUCACACUGGAACUGAGACACGGUCCAGACUCCUACGGGAGGCAGCAGUGGGGAAUAUUGGACAAUGGGCGAAAGCCUGAUCCAGCCAUGCCGCGUGUGUGAAGAAGGUCUUCGGAUUGUAAAGCACUUUAAGUUGGGAGGAAGGGCAGUAAGUUAAUACCUUGCUGUUUUGACGUUACCAACAGAAUAAGCACCGGCUAACUUCGUG
Molecule: ribosomal RNA, 484 nt
Filed under: uncultured bacterium
Lineage: Bacteria
Description: partial 16S ribosomal RNA
Rfam family: Bacterial small subunit ribosomal RNA
Source: RNAcentral